This 254-nucleotide ribosomal RNA is filed under the name uncultured bacterium. RNAcentral's name for it is "partial 16S ribosomal RNA". It matches the Rfam family "Bacterial small subunit ribosomal RNA", at positions 524 to 776 of the family's 1533-position model. The record is from RNAcentral.
GACGAACCGUGCGAACGUUGUUCGGAUUCACUGGGCUUAAAGGGCGCGUAGGCGGACGGUCAAGUCAGGGGUGAAAUCUUUCAGCUCAACUGGGAAAAGUGCCUUUGAUACUGAUCGUCUCGAGGGAGGUAGGGGCAUGUGGAACUUCCGGUGGAGCGGUGAAAUGCGUAGAUAUCGGAAGGAACGCCGGUGGCGAAAGCGACGUGCUGGACCUCUUCUGACGCUGAGGCGCGAAAGCUAGGGGAGCAAACGGG